AGUGAACGCUGGCGGUAGGCCUAACACAUGCAAGUCGAACGGCAGCACAGUAAGAGCUUGCUCUUACGGGUGGCGAGUGGCGGACGGGUGAGGAAUACAUCGGAAUCUACUUUUUCGUGGGGGAUAACAUAGGGAAACUUACGCUAAUACCGCAUACGACCUACGGGUGAAAGCAGGGGAUCUUCGGACCUUGCGCGAUUGAAUGAGCCGAUGUCGGAUUAGCUAGUUGGCGGGGUAAAGGCCCACCAAGGCGACGAUCCGUAGCUGGCCUGAGAGGAUGAUCAGCCACACUGGAACUGAGACACGGUCCAGACUCCUACGGGAGGCAGCAGUGGGGAAUAUUGGACAAUGGGCGCAAGCCUGAUCCAGCCAUACCGCGUGGGUGAAGAAGGCCUUCGGGUUGUAAAGCCCUUUUGUUGGGAAAGAAAAGCAGCAGGUUAAUACCCCGCUGUUCUGACGGUACCCAAAGAAUAAGCACCGGCUAACUUCGUG
This 492-nucleotide ribosomal RNA is filed under the name uncultured bacterium. RNAcentral's name for it is "partial 16S ribosomal RNA". It matches the Rfam family "Bacterial small subunit ribosomal RNA", at positions 29 to 507 of the family's 1533-position model. The record is from RNAcentral.